UCACGGGUCGGAACGCGACCCCUCCACCCCUCGUCGAACAACAUCACCACCACCACGGUUGACGACCNAACGCGAAUCGUCCAGCGCCACCGAACCGACUGGCAGUCGAAGUUUGACUGCUUUGGCUUGCGGANGUGUGUUCACCGUCGCUACUACUACGCCCCCCAAUCGAUAACGACACCGUUCGUUUUCGUGUGCCGAUUCGAACGUGAACCGUUCGCGCCUCAAACGUUCAUUCGUUUCCAGUCGAUUCCAGCGAUCCACGACCGUCCCGAGAGACUUGGGAGACGCGCGACCAGAACGACUUAAACAACAACAAACAACAAUGGAAGAAGACCAAAAUGGCGUCGUCGCCGCCGCAGUAGUCGGGAGGCCGCCGAACAGCGAAACCUGCGGAAUGAUCGUCAACCACAGUGGUGGCGAGGAGGGCCCGACGCCAACGGCUGCGGCUGCAGCGCCGCCGACACCAGCGCUCCCAGCGGCGGCGGCGGCAACAGCGUUCGGAGCUCCGGCGCGCCCAGCGCCGCGGUACGGCGCCCAUCUCAACUUCAACAAUAACAAUUCGGUCAUCAAAGGGCAGCUUAAUAAGGGUCCCGGUAAUCUAGAUCACAGAAAUAGACGUACACGUCGUGGCAAACGUAAAAGCAGAAAGCAAACGCCAUACAUGAAGGAUGGGAUGUUAUAUCGAGACAAAGCUGUCGCUCCCAACAAUACUAAUCAGUUUUUGAUGGACGAUCAUAAUGAUGGACCAGACAUAGAUAAAAAACUGUUAGCACGGUACAGCAAUGAAAAUGGACGUACAAGAAAUUCAAGUUACACUAGUGUCGAAUCAGAAGGUGAACAGAUGUAUUCUUCAUCAGAUGAUGAUGGGACUUCAAUACAAAAGGAAUUUAUUGAUACCUAUAGACUUAUUCAAGAAGAACAAUUGUCAGGGUUGACUCCAAGUGAACUCGUUCAACGAGUGAUUGAGCUUGAAGAAAAACUACAAACACAACAAGAGUCUAAGAGGUUUAAAAAAAAUAUGAUUACAUAUUCAAACGGCAUACCUAAAGAAGAAGAUGAAGAUAAUUUUAUUGAUAUAGAAGAAUAUAGAUCAUUGCAAGUACAGAAUAGAGAAUUGAUGACACAAAACAAACUGCUGCAAGCUGAAAUUGAAACUCUUAAACAAAUACAAAGCAAAACAAUAAAUAAUGAUUCAGAUAGCUCUGUAGAUAGUGAGAGUUCAUCAGACUCCAGUAGCUCUUCCAGUUCAUCAGAUGGACAAGAAAUAGAAAUGAAGUUCUUAGUACGGAGUAGUGAAAGAAAUGAUUGAUCAAUCAAGUACCAAAAUAAAGUUUAACAUGAAUUGUGAAGUUUGGCAGUGAUCACUUUAAUUAUGGAAUUUGGUGAUAACUUGUACAUAACAAAACCACCAGGAAUAGAACUUAUUCAAUCAUAUAAGAGAGAAAUAUUAAAUUUUCUCCAUUAGGAUAAAAAUUUGUCAAAAUAUCAAGACUGUUGCUGAUGAAAUUCUAACAGCUGUAGAAAAAUGACAGCAACUGGUGUAGUAUUGACGUCAGAAAUAAAUUGUUUGCAAAAUAAACAUCAUAGAAGGUUUAUGGACUAAGGUGUCUACUAAUNAUCCUUGAAGCCAAAAGCUGUAUAGAUUGAUUGAUUCAGAACUCUUUUUCUGAAAGCCAAAACGUGUGGUCAAAUAUCUCCAGGAAUUCACAUUACGGAUAUAUAAUUAUUAUAAACAGAUAAAUGCAUUUUAUUUGUGCAUGAUAAUUAUUUCUCAACUAUACAUCUGGAUUAAAAAAUAUAUUGAAGUUUUAAAUUCCAACAACUAGUAUUUUUAAUGAACAAUUUUAAGUGA
RNAcentral lists this unclassified non-coding RNA (1855 nucleotides) under Diuraphis noxia (Russian wheat aphid). RNAcentral's name for it is "protein HEXIM1-like, transcript variant X1". The record is from RNAcentral. Lineage: Eukaryota; Metazoa; Arthropoda; Insecta; Hemiptera; Aphididae.